Molecule: long non-coding RNA, 1511 nt
Organism: Boleophthalmus pectinirostris (great blue-spotted mudskipper)
Lineage: Eukaryota; Metazoa; Chordata; Actinopteri; Gobiiformes; Gobiidae
Exons: 3
Source: RefSeq, a predicted model, not a curated record
GUCAUUUCAAGUCUUUAAACCAAAAAAGUGCCAAAUAUAGCUUAGAUUUUUGCAAUUCAUAUGACUUUUAAGUUAAAUUGUACUUAAAAAGCCAUAGUAUAUUUAUAUUUGAGUAUUUAUAGAGUAUGUAAGAGUUGUAGAAAAGCUAAUUUUUCCUUUUUAAAUGUCUUGACAAGAUCUUAGUGUGAAUCAUUACGGUCAGAAUGGAAAGAAUUCAGAUUUAAAAGUGCUUCUCAAGUCACAGGCCUCAAGUCCGAGUCAAGUUCCAAGUCACUGACCUUCAAGUACAAGUCGAGCCCCAAGUCUUAGUCCAUUUUAUCAAGUUUCGUCUCAGGUCCCAAAAAUGGUGACUCAAGUCUGACUCGCACAACUUGCAAGUCUCCACCUCUGGUUUAAGCAAACAAAAAUUCAACUGCCUUUUUCAACAAAAAAAAAUUAAAAUAAAGAAAAUCAACAAAAUUCAUCAUCACAAUCAGUACAUUUGAAGUUUUAAUAUGCUGAUAAAGGAAAAGAAAAGUUUAGACCAUGGACAAUUACACCUAGACUUUGUACAAUGCCUCUAUAAGAUUUUCCAACUUUAUUUUUGGUUGCCUUGUAAUUUUUUCCCUCUAAUUAUAUGUUUUAAAAGAGUAAAAGUUAUAUCCAAUUAAGCGUAUAAUUCUUAUUAAUUCUUCUCAUAAUACUUGAAUACAAAUUGCAGUGUUUACUAUUAAUACAAUACACUAUAGUGACACAGUAUAGUCUAAAAUGUACUGGACUGCACUGAAAAAACAGUCCGAGAGGGGUUGCUGAAAUUGCAAAAACAAAUUUGACAACAAUAACAUGACUUUUUUAUGAUUCUCUGUAAAGCAUGUUUAAAUCUUACAAAGGUCGCUUGAUUGUGGCCGAUGUUAGACCUGCAUGUUUUAAUUAGGUUGAGGAAACAUGACUUUAUUAUAAUUUCUGGUGAGGCUCCUCCCUCUGGAAUUCUCCUCCCCAAAACUUUUGGAGGCAAAAUUCAAAUGCAGCAGGACACAGGACAGUUACAGGAGCAGAGGACACACAGUGUGGAGCAGGAGGAUUAUGAGAGCUGAUCUGGAGAUUUUAUUAUGUGCUUCUCCGGCCUAGAAUGUCGUCAUUGUUAAAACAUGUUUGUGGUGUUUUAUUUGAAAUUAGAGUUAAUGUAAGGACUCCUUGAAACAAAUUGUCUUUGACUGUCCAUCUACAAGAGUGUGACAGUUGUAUUCAGAUUUGAAUGUGUUGCUUCCAGAGUCGUCUACAAACAAAGAGUGACGUCCAGAGCUCUGCUGGAGCUGUGGGGAAGAUCAUGAAUGUUAUAGUUGAUGUUUCAGAAAAAAGGAAGAUGUUUGAGAACCAACAAAACACAGAGCACAGAGGAACAAAGGUGAUGUGGCAUUAGGAGGAUUUUAUAUCAGAUGCCCUCCCUGUUACUGUGUUUAGAGGAAGAAAAGCAGCACAUGGCAGAGACCAGAGCGUCUUCACUGGAAUAAAUCUUCACACUGUCCAGCUCC